GAUGAACGCUGGCGGCGUGCUUAACACAUGCAAGUCGAACGAAGCACUUUAUUUGAUUUCCUUCGGGACUGAUUAUUUUGUGACUGAGUGGCGGACGGGUGAGUAACGCGUGGGUAACCUGCCUUGUACAGGGGGAUAACAGUUGGAAACGGCUGCUAAUACCGCAUAAGCGCACGGCAUCGCAUGAUGCAGUGUGAAAAACUCCGGUGGUAUAAGAUGGACCCGCGUUGGAUUAGCUAGUUGGUGAGGUAACGGCCCACCAAGGCGACGAUCCAUAGCCGACGUGAGAGGGUGACCGGCGACAUUGGGACUGAGACACGGCCCAAACUCCUACGGGAGGCAGCAGUGGGGAAUAUUGCACAAUGGGCGAAAGCCUGAUGCAGCGACGCCGCGUGAGCGAAGAAGUAUUGCGGUAUGUAAAGCUCUAUCAGCAGGGAAGAUAAUGACGGUACCUGAAUAAGAAGCACCGGCUAAAUACGUG
This 481-nucleotide ribosomal RNA is filed under the name uncultured bacterium. RNAcentral describes it as "partial 16S ribosomal RNA". It matches the Rfam family "Bacterial small subunit ribosomal RNA", at positions 28 to 507 of the family's 1533-position model. The record is from RNAcentral.